Molecule: long non-coding RNA, 3714 nt
Organism: Gopherus flavomarginatus (Mexican gopher tortoise)
Lineage: Eukaryota; Metazoa; Chordata; Testudines; Testudinidae
Exons: 3
Source: RefSeq, a predicted model, not a curated record
UGGUGGGGGAGAUAGAAUCCAGCUGGGGCUCCCAUUUUGCUGGCUACUCAUUGUAUGACUGGUUGAUUCUGCUAAAUGUGGCACUAAGAAUGGAUCUGUAGAGCUAAAAUGCUACAUGAACAUGCGGCCACCUUCACGGCACAUCUGCAAAUGAGAAGCAUGGUUCUACAUGUCCCUCUAGUCCGAUCGAUGCCCAUAAGGAUCCUCUUUCCAGCAGUCAGUCAUGAGAUGGGGAAGAACCAUGCCAUGAAGAUGCAUGCUGAAAAGUGAGAGCUGGGUACACCCAGCUGCCUUUGACGCCUGUACUACACCAGGAUCUGCUCAUGUGACAAGAGGGACACACACCCACAUGUUUGCAAAUGCUCUGGCGGAGGAUCAGCAUUUCCCAUGGCACCUACUGACAAACAGACACACAAGGGCACUUGACCAUCAUGGCAAACGUUCUUACUGCUUAAGGUCAGGAGCAUCAUGUUCUCUUCUUAUUAGUCAGCAAUUUGUAGAACAGAGAUGUUGUUUUUUCUCCUUUUUGGAUGCUUUGUUUUGCAGCUGCACUAUUGUUUCCCUCUCUCUUCCUUUCUCUAGGAAUCUGAGAAAAACUCCCUUUUACCAGAAUUUGGAGGUGGGGUAUUUUUUCAGGCCCUUCAAUGUGGUACAGUGAUAUUCCCCCAUCUGAAUCCCUACUCAAUAACAAACAACGGGGUUGUGUCAGGGAGACAAGGAGUGCAGGGGCUCCUGGGUGAGCAGGUUCUCUUGGGGUUUGGAUGCAGGAGUGGGAUUACAGCCUUGCUGUGCAUCUGAACUAACAACCCUCUUCUGUUUCCUCUUUUACAGAUCUCAGGGGCAUGGGAGAUGCUGCUGGGGCAGUGGACACAUUGCCAUGGCAACCCCCUCUAGCAUGUACAUGGCUGGAGGUGCCACCUGACUGUCUGCCAGCUGGCCAUUGAUUUUGUCCAUUAUGUUUUUUCAAGUGAAUCACCGUGGGACAAAGCAAACAGAAAAGUGUACAUCUGUUAAAGAAUCUUAUUAAACUGGUUUUCCCCAACCCCCCAGGAGCAACCCUAGCACUUGGCUCUGCCUAGCUCCACCUGCACCCUGUUCAGUGCAGGCCUGAGAGCAUCUGAGGCAACACUUGUCUGGUCUUGGUCCUGGCCCCUUCCAUACAGCCUCCCUGUCACCCCCGCUCUCAUAUUUUGUGAUUGGGGGGAGGGGAGGUGACAGGGAGCCUAUGUGGAAGGGAUUAGGGCCAAGACCAGACAAAUGUUGCCUCAGAUGCUCUCAGACCUGCCCUGAACAGGGGGUAGAUGGGGCUAGGCAGAGCUGAAAGUGCAUGGGCUGGUUUUAGGGAUACAUGCAGCCUGCAGGGAUGUGGCUCAAUAGAUGGCAGAGCCAGAGCUCUGGGCUGUCAAUGCUUUUAGUGAAGUGGGGUAGGAGGAUUGUGGGAGUGCAAUAGCCACUUAUUAACAGUGGUGCUGCACUAUUGCAAGUUUACAUGGAGGUGGGUGCAACCAGAACCAGCUUUCCGUAGAGCUAAAAUGCCUCAUGCAUUGACAAGUUGAAAUAUCUUCAGACACUGUGGGGUUUGACCUGAAAUAAAUCCCUAUACAAGGGCUGCAACUAGAUCUUAGAUAUGAUUCUGAAAUACAAUCAAAGUUUCAACAUAUGAAGCUCUGGCCAAAUGCCAGUUACCAGGCCAACUGGGCAUCCUGCCUUAAUUUUCAAAGUAAACACCUGAUUUUGUUUUAGUUUUGAUAGUUGUUUAAAAAGACUAUUUUGCACGCACCGUUUGCCAGUUCCUGUUUACAGUCCUUGUCAUUUUUUUUUUCCUGGUCUGCUGUUAUGAUUCCUUUCAAGAAUAAAACAGACUCUGCUUGCUUUCUGCUCACUGCCUGAGUUAGAGGGUUACACACAUUUAACAUCUAAAAAGAGGUUUUAAUCAAGCAUUGUGCGAGAAUAAGCUAUUUCCUGAGCAAUUAAGAAGGAUAAACUGGUAAUUUCCAGCUAGAACAGACAAACAGCAACAAUACUGCCAAUGCUGAGUGUGUUAAAAAAACAUGAGUCAAUCCCUCUCCCCCUCCCAUCAUAAGAUUUUUUUUUAAAAUAAUACUUUUAGGAUUCUUUUUAUUUACCUUAUUUUUGAACUUUUAAGUUCACGUUUCUCUGUAACCAUAAGGCCUAGCAAGAUUUUUUUUUAAAACCAAAACCUGAGAUCUUCAUGUAUUCCUGUGGUUCGAUGUUGGGCUUUAAGAAAACCACCAACUAUUGUGGCAAUUGGCAACACUGCAGCCAGCAGCUGCCAAUUGCUAAACUGCCAAUUUAAGGCAAAAUUGUUUAGCUCUGUCCAAUCUAAAGGGCAAGCUAAUGCCAGACAGGCAAGCUGGGCAAAGUUCUAGUAAGAGGCCAUGCUACAAGGGGAGUCAUGCCUUGUCUGUGUCAGAGAUGUUACACUGGUCCCUUCCCUAGCUCAGUAUUGAUUGCAAAGUACCCAGUUUGUCUCCACAGGGCCGGCUCCAGGCACACCAGCAAAGGAAGCAGGUGCCUGGGGUGGCCAAUAUAAAGGGGCGGCACGUCCAGGUCUGCGGGGAUGCACAGAGAUGCAUUGGGAAAUGAGAUCUGCCAUUGCAGUGGCUCUCAGAGCUGACAGCUCCCUCAGCCAGCAGACCUUAUUAGUUAAGCAGCUGUGCAUCCUUAACGAUUGCCCCCCAACCAUUGUGCCACUCAGACACCAUCCCUGAAAUCCUCCAGCACCUGCUCUGCCAUGCUGUAACUGCUGAUCCAGCUGUGCAGUGCUGGCUAAGAUGACAACAUCUGUCCCUCUUCACCCCAGGUUCUGUUCCCUGAUUCCAGCCAUGCCUCUGCUCUGUUAAUGGCAGGCUCCUAAUUCAUUUCUGUGUUUCAGUGAAGCUGCCACUGAAUUUUCAGUCUGCUGCAUUGCUGUGUUGUCACAACCAGGGAGCCUGUGCAGGAUUUAGGCUUGGCUUGCUGAGGAGCAUGUGGACCCUUGUGUGCAAGUGCUAAGCCUUAUUAUUCCAUUUAUUAAUUACUAAGCAAUUAAGUUUUCCUUUACCACAAAGGAUCUAGACUGAGCACCAGGAUCUGAUCCCAAAAUUCCAAAUGUCACCUUGGAUCUCCUGCUUUCCUAUCUGUCUUGAACAGAUGCGAAAUUAUUAAGAAUGGGGCAUGGACUGUAUUUUUGUUCUGCGUUUGUACAGCACUUAGAACCAUGGGGUCCUGGGCCACGUAUAAGACUCCAAGAUGCUAUAAUAACAAAUUAAUAGGCAUGUUUGCAAAUAUGAUCAAAUUGAGGAGUACUUGUGGCACCUUAGAGACUAACAAAUUUAUUUGAGCAUAAGCUUUUGUGGGCUAAAACCCACUUCAUCGGAUGCAUGCAGUGGAAAACACAGUAGGAAGAUAUAUAUACAUAGAGAACAUGAAAAAAUGAGUGCUGCCAUACCAACUAUAAUGAGAGUAAUUAAGGUGGGCCAUUAUCAGCAGGAAAAAAAACUUUUGUAGUAUUUCAAGUAACUCUUAAAGGGACCUCUGCAAAAGAUGCUAUGUUCUUUAAAGAGUAUGCUAAAAAGUUAACAGUCUGCAGCUUGGCGGUGAAAAUGUGAAAAGAAUGAGCCAGAUUUUUCUGCUAAUUUGUUAGUUAAAAACAAAAAGAAAACCUGUCUGAAUUGUAAAUUCAGGAUGUCAGUUCCACAAUGUUUUCCAAAA